RNAcentral lists this ribosomal RNA (253 nucleotides) under uncultured bacterium. RNAcentral describes it as "partial 16S ribosomal RNA". It matches the Rfam family "Bacterial small subunit ribosomal RNA", at positions 524 to 776 of the family's 1533-position model. The record is from RNAcentral.
UACGUAGGGCGCAAGCGUUAUCCGGAAUUAUUGGGCGUAAAGAGCUCGUAGGCGGUUUGUCGCGUCUGCCGUGAAAGUCCGGGGCUCAACUCCGGAUCUGCGGUGGGUACGGGCAGACUAGAGUGCGGUAGGGGAGACUGGAAUUCCUAGUGUAGCGGUGAAAUGCGCAGAUAUUAGGAAGAACACCGGUGGCGAAGGCGGCUCUCUGGAACGGUACUGACGCUGAGACGCGAAAGCGUGGGGAGCGAACAGG